Molecule: small nucleolar RNA, 135 nt
Organism: Cavia porcellus (domestic guinea pig)
Lineage: Eukaryota; Metazoa; Chordata; Mammalia; Rodentia; Caviidae
Source: Ensembl
UUGAAAAUGUAAUCGCCCGCAGCUUCCUGACACUGUUGGUUUCAAGCAAGAGCCUAAAGAGUUGUCUUUUUAUGGUGUGUUGGCCAUUUCAGAACUUGGGCAGUAAAAUAGUCAAUUCAUUAGAAAGAAACAGCU